This 400-nucleotide ribosomal RNA is filed under the name uncultured soil bacterium. RNAcentral's name for it is "bacterial SSU rRNA". It matches the Rfam family "Bacterial small subunit ribosomal RNA", at positions 26 to 435 of the family's 1533-position model. The record is from RNAcentral.
AGGACGAACGCUGGCGGCGUGCUUAACACAUGCAAGUCGAGCGGUAAGGCCUUUCGGGGUACACGAGCGGCGAACGGGUGAGUAACACGUGGGUGAUCUGCCCUGCACUUCGGGAUAAGCCUGGGAAACUGGGUCUAAUACCGGAUAUGACUUCAGGUUGCAUGACUUGGGGUGGAAAGAUUUAUCGGUGCAGGAUGGGCCCGCGGCCUAUCAGCUUGUUGGUGGGGUAAUGGCCUACCAAGGCGACGACGGGUAGCCGACCUGAGAGGGUGACCGGCCACACUGGACUGAGACACGGCCCAGACUCCUACGGGAGCAGCAGUGGGAAUAUGCACAAGUGGGCGAAAGCCUGAUGCAGCGACGCGCGUGAGGAUGACGGCCUUAGGGUCGUAACCUGUUU